GUGCAAAAAGGGGUAGCUCGAUACGCCUGUGCUCACACAGAAGGUGAUGGGUUUUUUACCUGCUGGCCGGGCGGCGCGGCUCUGCCGCGUCAAGCGGUCGCGGGUUCGAGACAGACUUGUCUGUCCUACAUAACCUGCUUACUUAUGUUUGCAAUGCAGGUGGGAAAUUCGGUGGAACGCUGCGCCGUGUGCGUCCGCUAGGUACACUGUCUGCUGCCAGCUCCGCUGGACUCCGAGAGGAGGCCCCGUCGAGACGGCGGGGCUACACGCCUGUCAUCAGAAAGAUUUAAGUCGUCUUGUGCGACAUGGGAUCCCGGACAGCGGGCGCGGCGGUCGGCUGGUGGUUGGGUGUAUCGGACGGCGGGCGGACACUGGUGCUUGGCUUCGCGAGGAGUAACUCCGAAGGCUCAGCUGAGUGCAAUUGUAGGAUUCUCCAUGGCAUAUGCCGGGAGAAACCCCGAUACCGAUUACAGACAGCUGUCUCCCAUC
Small nuclear RNA from Eremothecium gossypii ATCC 10895, 489 nucleotides. RefSeq annotates it as AgSNRRPR1. NCBI's taxonomy places the organism in Eukaryota, Fungi, Ascomycota, Saccharomycetes, Saccharomycetales, Saccharomycetaceae. The transcript has a single exon. The record is from RefSeq.